RNAcentral lists this long non-coding RNA (623 nucleotides) under Sus scrofa (pig). Its description in RNAcentral is "lncRNA (ENSSSCG00030052643.1)". Lineage: Eukaryota; Metazoa; Chordata; Mammalia; Artiodactyla; Suidae. The record is from RNAcentral.
AUCCCUGGCUUCCUAGGACGCCAAUAAAAACUCUCGACACCUAAGCAAUAAUUCCCAACAGUCUUUUCUUUUUGGCCGAAGAGCGCGGGGAAUAAGACCAGAUGCAAAGGCCUCCUGUCUAGGUGACCGUGUUUGCACGAGGGCUGCUAAGGAUACAGAGCGCGUCAUCCCUGAUGCACUGCACAGCACGUGUUGCUUGGCAAUAGGUGACUCCGCUGGCAUGGCUUCCUCAUGGACACGAGGUUGAACUUUGAAAACUCCAAGCAAAACAUAAAUGACAGCUUUUAAAAAGUAUAAUUGAUAGUAAAAGCUAUAUGACUUCAUAAACUUGGACAUAUAAACGAACAUCUGUGUUAAAUCAUACAAAUCAAGGUAAGAGACACACCUAUCACCUGCAAAAAAUUUUCUCAUAUUCCUAGUUCUCCUUUUUUCUUAUAGUGAUGCCACAGCCUGUAGCAACACUGGAUCCUUGACCCGCUGAGCCAGGCCCACGAUCAAACCCACAUCCUUCUGGACACUAUGUUGGGUUUUCAACCUGCUGGGCCACAAUGGCAACUCCCUUUUAAUUAGAUUUUCUUAUUUGACAAAUUUCAACACUGAGUUAAAAUUACUUUUUAUGUGGC